CAGCCGCCACGGGAAUACAGAGGGUGCGAGCGUUAAUCGGAUUUACUGGGCGUAAAGCGUGCGUAGGCGGCUUCUUAAGUCGGAUGUGAAAUCCCUGAGCUUAACUUAGGAAUUGCAUUCGAUACUGGGAAGCUAGAGUAUGGGAGAGGAUGGUAGAAUUCCAUGUGUAGCGGUGAAAUGCGUAGAGAUCUGGAGGAAUACCGAUGGCGAAGGCAGCCAUCUGGCCUAAUACUGACGCUGAGGUACGAAAGCAUGGGGAGCAAACAGGAUUAGAUACCCCAGUAGUCCCUGUCUAUUAUAC
Molecule: ribosomal RNA, 301 nt
Filed under: uncultured bacterium
Lineage: Bacteria
Description: partial 16S ribosomal RNA
Rfam family: Bacterial small subunit ribosomal RNA
Source: RNAcentral